AAGAGUUUGACCUCAAAUUAUUGCAUCACAUCUUCAGAAGGGUAUAGAUGAACUCCCCAAGACUAAUGUACAGCUAUUAUGGAAAUUGUCUUUAAGUUGAUUUUUAAAGGCUAAAAAAGUAGAAUACCUGGACUAGUGAUUUGUAAGAGGUUAAUUUUGAAGUAAUUGCUGGAGAGAUGGUUAGUUGCAGUACUGAUAAAAUGAAUAAUAUAUUAGAAUCGGAAUUUUGGGGCUGGG
Molecule: unclassified non-coding RNA, 237 nt
Filed under: Hevea brasiliensis (rubber tree)
Lineage: Eukaryota; Viridiplantae; Streptophyta; Magnoliopsida; Malpighiales; Euphorbiaceae
Source: RNAcentral